CCCGCUGAACUUAAGCAUAUCAAUAAGCGGAGGAAAAGAAACUAACAAGGAUCCCCCUAGUAACUGCGAGUGAAGCGGGAAGAGCUCAAAUUUUGAAUCUGGCGGUGUUUGGCCGUCCGAGUUGUAAUCUAGAGAAGCGUCUUCCGCGCUGGACCGUGUACAAGUCUCCUGGAAGGGAGCGUCAUAGAGGGUGAGAAUCCCGUCUUUGACACGGACUACCAGUGCUAUGUGAUGCGCUCUCGACGAGUCGAGUUGUUUGGGAAUGCAGCUCAAAAUGGGUGGUAAAUUCCAUCUAAAGCUAAAUACAGGCGAGAGACCGAUAGCGAACAAGUACCGUGAGGGAAAGAUGAAAAGAACUUUGGAAAGAGAGUUAAACAGUACGUGAAAUUGCUGAAAGGGAAACGCUUGAAGUCAGUCGCGUCGUCCAGGGAUCAACCUUGCUUUUGCUUGGUGCACUUUCUGGUUUGACGGGUCAGCAUCAAUUUUGACCAUUGGAAAAAGGCCAAGGGAAUGUGGCAUCUUUGGAUGUGUUAUAGCCCUUUGUCACAUACAAUGGUUGGGAUUGAGGAACUCAGCACGCCGCAAGGCCGGGUUUUUGAACCACGUACGUGCUUAGGAUGCUGGCAAUAUGGCUUUAAUCGACCCGUCUUGAAACACGG
This 659-nucleotide ribosomal RNA is filed under the name uncultured fungus. RNAcentral describes it as "eukaryotic LSU rRNA". It matches the Rfam family "Eukaryotic large subunit ribosomal RNA", at positions 24 to 664 of the family's 3401-position model. Lineage: Eukaryota; Fungi. The record is from RNAcentral.